RNAcentral lists this ribosomal RNA (468 nucleotides) under uncultured bacterium. RNAcentral's name for it is "partial 16S ribosomal RNA". It matches the Rfam family "Bacterial small subunit ribosomal RNA", at positions 28 to 507 of the family's 1533-position model. The record is from RNAcentral.
GACGAACGCUGGCGGCGUGCUUAACACAUGCCAGUCGAACGGAAAGGCCCUGCUUUUGUGGGGUGCUCGAGUGGCGAACGGGUGAGUAACACGUGAGUAACCUGCCCUUGACUUUGGGAUAACUUCAGGAAACUGGGGCUAAUACCGGAUAGGAGCUCCUGCUGCAUGGUGGGGGUUGGAAAGUUUCGGCGGGUGGGGAUGGACUCGCGGCUUAUCAGCUUGUUGGUGGGGUAGUGGCUUACCAAGGCUUUGACGGGUAGCCGGCCUGGGAGGGUGACCGGCCACAUUGGGACUGAGAUACGGCCCAGACUCCUACGGGGGGCAGCAGUGGGGAAUAUUGCACAAUGGGCGGAAGCCUGAUGCAGCAACGCCGCGUGCGGGAUGACGGCCUUCGGGUUGUAAACCGCUUUCGCCUGUGACGAAGCGUGAGUGACGGUAAUGGGUAAAGAAGCACCGGCUAACUACGUG